GCCAGGCCCGCUGCCUUCAGACACAGAGACAGACCUGGAGGUGCCCCGGACUCUGACAGGCCUGGGCCUGUUGGGGUCCACUGCUGCUGGAGAGUAGGGGCGAUCUAGGCCUGCAGUGGGCUCGGGGCCCUGGUCCGGGCCGCGUUCUCCGGGCAGAGGCCCUUCAUAUGGCAGCCUGGUGGCACUGCACCCUGCCUGGGCACGGUGUGUGGUGUGCACAGCCCAGAGUGUGUGCGGAGGCCCCUGCUGGCCCACCUGACCUCCCCUGGGCCUCCCUGGGGUCCCUGCUCCGGCCCCGAGGGAGGAGGCAGUUGGCCUCGCCUGUCACUCAGGCUGACCCUGCCUGCCCGCCCGGAUCUGGUUUCCUGACGCCUGGCGCCCGCGGGCAGAGGAGCUGGGGCAGUGGGCCUGGCCCCUUCCUGCGGCUGACCGCUCCCUUUUCUGCUGGAUUAUUGCAAGGGUUCUGGGAGGUGGUGGAGGAUCUGGGGGUCUGGUGGACGGCCUUGUUCAUGGCCUGGCUCUGCCUCUUUCUGAUGGGGUGACCUUGUGCCCCUUCACCCCUGAGCCUCUGUUCUCACCUGGAAAGUGGAGCCCACGUGACCCCCAUCAACGCCAGGAUGGGGCACAUGGUCAUGGGGCCAUGUAGCAUUGGGGGUCCCCCAGGGGCACAGAGAGAGUCAGCCCACCUCCACUCGCCUCCGGGAUGCCAAAGUUUUGUCCUUGUUGCCGGCGGGGCGGGACUGGUGGAUCUGAGCAGGGCAG
Vicugna pacos (alpaca) is the source of this 762-nucleotide non-coding RNA. The record is from RefSeq and is a predicted model, not a curated record. Lineage: Eukaryota; Metazoa; Chordata; Mammalia; Artiodactyla; Camelidae.